Molecule: ribosomal RNA, 254 nt
Filed under: uncultured bacterium
Lineage: Bacteria
Description: partial 16S ribosomal RNA
Rfam family: Bacterial small subunit ribosomal RNA
Source: RNAcentral
GACAGAGGGUGCAAACGUUGCUCGGAUUUACUGGGCGUAAAGCGCAUGCAGGCGGUCUGAUAAGUCGGGUGUGAAAGCCCGGGGCUCAACCCCGGAAGUGCACUCGAUACUGCCAGACUCUGGGUACUGAAGAGGAGAGCGGAAUUCCCGGUGUAGAGGUGAAAUUCGUAGAUAUCGGGAGGAACACCAGUGGCGAAGGCGGCUCUCUGGGCAGAUACCGACGCUGAGAUGCGAAAGCGUGAGGAGCAAACAGG